UGGUGUCAGUGUAAAUCUCCUCUGUGUUGUGUGUCAGAUUGCUCUGUCUCAGGAUGGACAGAUUCAGUAUGUCCCCAUCACCACUGAACAGCAGGUUGUGGCCCCUGAAGAUCUGGAAGCAGUCGCUCAUUCAGCGGUCACUGCUAUUGCAGAUGCAGCAAUGACCCGGUUUACACUGAAGCCACACCUGAACAACUGGAACAACUGCAAGAGCAGGGCAUCCAGUAUGAUGUCAUCACUUUUAUUGAGGAGUAGAAACACGACACACUCAUUAUUUAUUAACAACAUCAACACACACACACACACACACACACGGACAGACAGAAGAAUAUCUGAAGCUCAUCUCAGCUCCAAAUGAGCAUCACAAACUGCGCUGAUCAUAAGUAACACAAACUUCUUCCACAAUCAUCAGUCAUUUAUAAGGUGAAUGUACAGUUAGAUCCUCUCAAAAUAUGAUUUAUGCCUUUGUAAAUAUUGAAAGAAAUGUAUCUUUAGCCUUGAAAAAGAAAUAAGUAUAGAGAAUCCUGUAUUUAAGAAGAAUAAUGGACAUGUCUCUGUGGAUGCUGCUUUAAUGACAGUCUGUAUAUAACGUUAGGCUGGAGGAUUGACGUCAUAUUGCUAUGAAACAGUUCCUAGCUGUAGCUAAAAUUCUUACAAAGAAGGUUUUGAUCAUUUGCUGUUUCAUUUUUAGCUUCUUCAGUUUUACAGAUAUGUCUUUCUUUAAACAUGGCUACAGACCGGAACUUUAAAUGCAAACCAAAUAAGUCAAAGCCUCUUUAUCUGAUUCUAACACUGAUUUUCUUGCAUUAGUUGUGCUAUAAUAUUGUACAAUUCUGGUUUUACAAAGCUGUUGUCUGCUGCAUAUGAUUUAAUAAUAUUUAUACUCGUGUACAUAUUG
Danio rerio (zebrafish) is the source of this 898-nucleotide non-coding RNA. The record is from RefSeq and is a predicted model, not a curated record. Lineage: Eukaryota; Metazoa; Chordata; Actinopteri; Cypriniformes; Danionidae.